This 253-nucleotide ribosomal RNA is filed under the name uncultured bacterium. Its description in RNAcentral is "partial 16S ribosomal RNA". It matches the Rfam family "Bacterial small subunit ribosomal RNA", at positions 524 to 776 of the family's 1533-position model. The record is from RNAcentral.
UACGGAGGGGGCGAGCGUUAUUCGGAAUUAUUGGGCGUAAAGGGCGCGUAGGCGGCCCGGUAAGUCAAAGGUGAAAUCCCUCGGCUCAACUGAGGAACUGCCCUUGAAACUGUCGGGCUUGAGGCCGGGAGGGGGUAGCGGAAUUCCCAGUGUAGCGGUGAAAUGCGUAGAUAUUGGGAGGAACACCAGUGGCGAAGGCGGCUACCUGGACCGGUUCUGACGCUGAGGCGCGAAAGCGUGGGUAGCAAACAGG